CCCACCGUGGAUUUAUUUGGAAAGGAUUUAUCGUUGACAAGAUAGGCAUGCGUCCCAUUAGUUUGUUGGUGAGGUACCGGCUCACCAAAGGCAUUCGGAUGGGUUAGGGGAACUGAGAGGUUUAUCCCCCACACUGGUACUGAGACACGGACCAGACUCCUACGGGAGGCAGCAGUGAGGAAUAUUGGUCAAUGGGCGAGAGCCUGAACCAGCCACGUCGCGUGAAGGAAGACGGUUCUAUGGAUUGUAAACUUCUUUUAUACGGGAUUAAAGUUUGCCACGUGUGGCAAUUUGCAGUUACCGUAUGAAUAAGCAUCGGCUAACUCCGUGCCAGCAGCCGCGGUAAUACGGAGGAUGCGAGCGUUAUUCGGAUUUAUUGGGUUUAAAGGGUGCGUAGGUGGCGAUAUCAGUCAGCGGUGAAAACUAAGGGCUCAACCCUUUUCGUGCCGUUGAUACUGUAUUGCUUGAGUAUAUAUGAGGUAGGCGGAAUGCGUGGUGUAGCGGUGAAAUGCAUAGAUAUCACGCAGAACUCCAAUUGCGAAGGCAGCUUACCAAGCUAUCACUGACACUGAGGCACGAAGGCGUGGGGAUCAAACAGGAUUAGAUACCCUGGUAGUCCACGCAGUAAACGAUGAUAAAUGAGAGUGUGCGAUAUGAAUGUACGUUCUUAAGCGAAAGC
This 679-nucleotide ribosomal RNA is filed under the name uncultured bacterium. RNAcentral describes it as "bacterial SSU rRNA". It matches the Rfam family "Bacterial small subunit ribosomal RNA", at positions 185 to 858 of the family's 1533-position model. The record is from RNAcentral.